CACCUUGUUUCCUUUCUAGAAACAAACAUUGGUCAACUUAAAAAAAAGAAACAAGUGCCGGUGACCACCAGAGACCAUCUUAGCGCACCUUUUUUUCCUUUCUAGAAACAAUACUGGUCAAUCCAUUUGACCAACUAGUGACUACGCUGACGCUGCGCACAAAAGUAGGCUGUGAAUCUUGAAUUGUCACAGCAAAUCACCACAUGCCAACGAUAAAUCCGUGCAAACCCACAUGCAAGAAUCCAUAAAUCCGUGCGCACAAAAGUACUUUUCCAUGGCAAACUUUCCCGGGCCCUUCCUCUGCUUCGGAGCACCCAAUCAGCCCAAGAAGAGUCAAAGCACUCUGAGGGCUCUGGGCUGCCGGCGAAAUGCUUAUAUACAGUGCCUCCUCCACCUCCAGGGACAGGAACUACACAUGGCACGGUGCAGGCUGGGCUCGUCGAGCACACCAGCAGCGCAAGCUGUAGCUGCCAGGAAAUGGACGCGACAGCAGAAGCUCGCAGCGGAGAAGGAGCAAGCCACGGCGGCGAGCAAGAAAAAGAUGACCAGACGGAGAAGAAGGUGUCGUUGCUCGGCAUGUUCAGGUACGCCGACAGCCUCGACGUGCUGCUCAUGGUGGUCGGCUCGCUGGGGGCGGUGGGCAACGGCGUGGCGGGGUCCCUCAUGUUGGUCGUCUUUGGAGACGCCAUCAACUCCUUCGGGGAGAGCACCACCAGCACCGUCCUCCCCGCUGUCACCAAGGUUGUUCUCAACUUCGUAUAUUUGGGCAUUGGGAUAGCAGUUGCUUCCUUUCUUCAGAUGUCAUGCUGGACAAUGUCAGGAGAAAGGCAGUCAGCCCGCAUCCGUUCUUUGUACCUGAAAUCAGUUCUGAGGCAAGAUAUUGCAUUUUUCGACAUAGAAAUGACAACUGGUGAAGCAGUUUCUAGAAUGUCUAGCGAUACGGUCAUAAUUCAAGAUGCUCUUGGUGAGAAGGGAGGGAAGCUUGUACAAGCCAUAUCUGCCUUCUUUGGGGGUUUUAUCAUAGCAUUCACAAAAGGCUGGCUCCUGACUCUUGUCAUGCUAACGUCACUACCAUUAGUUGCUAUCGCCGGUGCAGUGUCUGCACAGCUGCUAACCCGGGUUUCUAGCAAGCGACUAACAUCGUAUAGUGAUGCUGCAGACACAGUUGAACAGACAAUUAGAUCUAUACGAACAGUGAGUUCAAAUUAUAUUAGUCAUUCGAAAUUAUAUCAAUUAUCUCAACUAAGACAAAUGAUAGCAAACAUUAAUUUAGCAACCCACGUGUAAUCAGGUUGUGUCCUUCAAUGGAGAGAAGAAAGCUAUAGAAAUGUAUAAUAAAUUCAUAAAGAAAGCCUACAAGACUGCUGUUGAGGAAGGCCUUGUCAAUGGUUUUGGCAUGGGCUCUGUCUUCUGCAUCAUAUUUAGCAGCUAUGGUCUAGGGUUCUGGUAUGGUGGAAAGCUAAUCAUUGACAAAGGAUACACUGGAGGGAAGAUCGUCAUUGUUUUGUUUGCCGUAAUGACUGGUGCAACUUCAUUAGGUAGUGCAACACCAUCAAUUUCUGCAAUUGCGGAAGGUCAAUCUGCAGCAUACAGACUGUUCGAAACAAUAGAGAGGAAACCUGAAAUAGAUUCAGAUGAUAUGAGUGGCAUGGUCUUGGAAAAUAUCAAGGGUGAUGUUGAGCUAAAGGAUGUGUACUUUCGCUACCCUGCAAGACCCGGGCAGUUAAUAUUAGAUGGAUUAUCAUUACAAGUAGCCAGUGGAACAACAAUGGCCAUAGUUGGAGAGAGUGGAAGUGGCAAGUCAACUGUUAUCAGCCUAGUUGAAAGAUUCUAUGAUCCACAGGCUGGCGAAGUUUUGAUAGAUGGAGUCAACAUCAAGAAUCUGAGUCUUGAUUGGAUAAGAGGGAAGAUCGGCCUUGUUAGCCAAGAACCAUUGUUGUUUAUGACCUCUAUUAAAGAUAACAUAAUCUAUGGUAAAGAAAAUGCAACACUUGAAGAGAUCAAGAGAUCAGCCGAGCUUGCAAAUGCAGCAAAUUUCAUCGAUAAGUUACCAAAUGGCUACGAUACAUUGGUUGGCCAACGUGGCACUCUACUUUCUGGAGGACAAAAGCAAAGAAUUGCAAUUGCGAGAGCCAUCCUUAAAGAUCCAAAAAUCCUUUUGCUAGAUGAAGCAACAAGUGCAUUGGAUGUGGAAUCUGAGAGGAUAGUCCAGGAGGCAAUCAAUAGGAUAUUGGUAGAAAGAACCACACUUGUCGUUGCUCAUCGUUUGAGCACUGUAAGGAAUGUUGACUGCAUCACAGUCGUUCAUCAAGGGAAAAUAGUCGAACAAGGUCCACAUCAUGCAUUGGUAAAGGAUCCCAAUGGAGCUUACUCCCAGCUUAUUAGGCUACAAGAAACUCGUGGUGAUGAAAGACGUAAAAUACAGGAUUCCGAAGUGCCCAAUUCCUUAUCAAAAAGCACUAGUUUGUCAGUUAGACGGUCAAUGACUAAUGUUUCUUUUGGCAAUAGCAACAGACACUCCUUCAAGAACACAUUAGGACUAUCAGUUGAGUUGCAUGAGGAUGCAAUCACAGAUGAACAGAACAAUGAGGACCUUCCCGAUGGGAUGACCCUUCAGAAAGAAGCAGUUGGACGCCUUUUUUAUCUUAACAAACCGGAGGUACCAUUUUUUCUGCUCGGCGCUAUAGCAGCAUCAGUGCAUGGAGUCAUUUUGCCAUUGUACGGCCUACUAAUGUCUGGCAGUAUAAAAUCAUUCUACGAGCCACCAGAUAAGCUGCGAAAAGAUUCUAGCUUUUGGGCAUUGAUAUUUGUAGUUCUGGGGAUUGCAUCUUUCAUUGCAAUCACAGCAGAAUAUCUUUUGUUUGGAAUUGCUGGUGGCAAGCUUAUAGAGCGUGUUCGUACUCUGUCAUUUCAAAAUAUUGUGCAUCAGGAAGUUGCUUGGUUUGAUAAUCCCUCAAAUUCCAGUGGUGCACUUGGUACACGACUCUCAGUUGACGCAUUAAACGUUCGGCGCUUAGUAGGAGAUAACCUGGGCCUUAUAGUACAGUUUGCAUAUGAGAAUUAACAAUCAUUGGAUGUUUUUCAGGUUUUCCUUGUCUUAGUUUUGGCAACUCUUGGGGUUUCGCAGGCAAGUGCAUUGGCAUGUAAUGCGACAAAAGCAAAGGAUUCAGCCAUUUCUGUUUUCAGUAUUCUAGAUCGGAAGUCAAAAAUCAAUACAAAUAGCGAUGAGGGCAUGAUGCUGGAAAAUGUCACUGGCGACAUUGAAUUCAGUAAUGUCAGUUUCAAGUACCCAUCACGGCCUGAUGUCCAAAUAUUCAGUGACUUUACUUUGCACAUUCCUUCCAGAAAGACCAUAGCACUAGUUGGAGAGAGUGGUAGUGGAAAGUCCACAAUAAUUUCUUUACUGGAGCGUUUCUAUGAUCCUGAUUCUGGUAGUAUCUCAGUAGAUGGAGUCGAGAUUAAGAGCCUGAAAAUUAGCUGGUUAAGGGAUCAGAUGGGGCUGGUAGGCCAGGAGCCAGUUCUUUUCAACGACACAAUCCGUGCAAACAUAACAUACGGGAAACACGGGGAGGUGACAGAGGAAGAGGUUACGGGUGUGGCCAAGGCAGCAAAUGCUCAUGAGUUUAUAUCAAGCUUGCCACAGGGAUACGACACUCUGGUUGGCGAGAAAGGAGUGCAACUAUCUGGUGGACAGAAGCAGCGGGUAGCCAUCGCAAGGGCCAUUAUAAAGGACCCGAAGAUACUACUGCUUGACGAGGCGACCAGCGCCCUGGACGCGGAAUCAGAGCGCAUCGUUCAGGACGCGUUGGAUCGAGUCAUGGUGAGCAGGACCACCAUAGUGGUGGCGCACCGCCUCUCCACAAUCAAAGGGGCUGAUGCGAUUGCGGUCCUCAAGGAAGGCAAAAUUGCAGAAAAGGGAAAUCAUGAGGCCCUGAUGCGGAUCCAGGAUGGAGUCUAUGCUUCGCUAGUAGAACUUCGCUCAAAUUCCAAGUAGAACUGUGUAUAUUUGACAUUCAUUAUUUUCCUUUUGAUUCUUACUACUCCCUCCGUACCAAAAUAUAAGACGUAUUUGAACUACAAAAACGUCUUAUAUUUUGGUAGAGGGAGUACAUCCGUUUGUUCCUAGUACAAUUAUUUUGCCAGGCAAUACAGUGUUUUGUGAUUUGAGAAGUGAAUGCAACAUGGUUACCCGUAUGCAAGCCGACAUCAAUAAAUAAUUGCUUUUAAAUACUAACUAAAAACUGCAGCAGUAUUGGUAG
RNAcentral lists this ribosomal RNA (4259 nucleotides) under Triticum aestivum (bread wheat). RNAcentral's name for it is "partial small subunit ribosomal RNA". Lineage: Eukaryota; Viridiplantae; Streptophyta; Magnoliopsida; Poales; Poaceae. The record is from RNAcentral.